CUCCCUGAUUGUCAGAAUCGGUUACCCUCGCUGGUCUGAGAUGGGGAAGGUGGAGAAGGACCCAGACACCCACCCGGGGGAACUCAGGCCCAGCGCUCGCCCAGGUCUGCCUUCAGCCUGGAUCUGGAGGGUUUCGGGUUGCUCCUCCCCGCCCGCCCGCCCGCAUGGUUUUGGUUGGUUGGAUGGCUGAAUGAAACACAACCUUGCCUGCAGACAUCAAAGCCUGUCUCCAGCCGUAGCAGGCUCUGCCUCCAGCCUUUCGUCUCUCCGGCAUUUGUAAAAUGUUGAUGGCCAAGCAUGAUACCUCAUGCCUGAGACGCCAGCUCUCAGGAGGCCCCCGGCAAGUUCAAGGCCAGCUUGCUCUACAUGAUCCAAAGAAGCGUCUUUCUCUGAUUCCUUUUAUCUGGAAGAACUGAGAGGAGACGGGCGAACGGUUGUGAGAAUCUCUUUAAGGGGCAGUCCUGGAAUGAGUGAAGGUUUGAACGCUUUUCUUAAAAUCAGAGUCCCGGGAAAUUUUCAUUUUUUCUUCGGUUUUGGCGCCGUGCACCGCUGACUCCUGGCCGCCUGUCUCUCCUAUGGCCUGGCAUCUUCACAGAUGCAGAUUUUGAAAAUGCAUUUCUCCUUUAUCUGAGAGCCCCUCCUGCCCCCUCCUCCAGGACCGACACACUAUGCGUGGAACCUGUGAUGCUAGGCCAUCCUUCCUAUGGUUUGACAUAUUGUCUCACCAGUAAAGGGUAGAGCUGGAACCCACCAUGAAAUCCUGGCCCAGCAAAAUACGUGCCCUAGAGAAGAAGGACCACAAACUCAAGGUCACCUGGGGCUACAUACUUAAGAUCCAGUCUCAAAACUCCAAAUCAAACAAAAAUUGCGCUAAUAAUAAAUUGUAGGAAGUAAGAAGAUGACACCAGGUAGCAGGUCUCAGGCAGCCUCUUUCUGGCUUUAGACUCAUGAUGGCUUAGAGUAGUUUUGAACUCCCAGUAUCAUCUUCUAAAUGUGCAUCUCGACAAAAAAAAAAGGAAUGACUUCGCCGGGCGUGGUGGCGCACACCUUUAAUCCCAGCACUCGGGAGGCAGAGGCAGGCGGAUUUCUGAAUUCGAGGCUAGCCUGGUCUACAAAGUGAGCUCCAGGACAGCCAGGGCUAUACAGAGAAACCCUGUCUCGAGAAAAAAAAAAAAAAAAAAGGAAUGAUUUCUCUGAGAUAGGGCCACAUGUAGCCCAGGCAACCCUCAAACUGUGAAGUCACAGAUUAUCUGAUCCUCCUGCCUCCACCUCCCAGUGUAAUUAAAAGUACAGCUAGCCUGGUGGCACGCCAUGCCUGACAUAGAGAGAGCAUGCAUCCAACUAAGGGCUUCAUUCUUACUAAGGCAAGCAUUCUGCCUACUGAGCUACAUACAUCCCCGGUGCAGAGAGGAAUAUUUAUUAAGCCUUCAUCCCUUCCAUAAUUGGACAAUGUAUUGUCUUGAUGUUCUGAUGGGCAGGAAGUUAUUUAGGCAGUAUAUAAACUGUCAUACUACACAGGGCAAAAAUAUUGCUUGUUUUCAAAAAAACAUUAGAAUACAGUAAAAUGCACCUGUCAUGGACUAGCCGGCUCUUCCUUUAAUCUUUUUUCCCCCCUCUCCUGUUUCAAAAAGAUGUUCAGGGUUCUCAGCAUAUCAGGGUCAUCAUUUUCAAACAUCCAUUAGUGCCAUCCCCCAGUCGAGGGAGAGAUGUAGUUAAUAAACAUUUCUGCUUGAUAGAGUCUAGCGAUCUAUUAGAACUGCCACCAAGCAGUCAGAGCACACAGUCCCGUUACCAGCCACAGAUCACAUGGCUACACACGUUUCUCCCCACCCCCCGCCCCCCAUUCUCUUUCUUUCCUAACCCUGCCACUUCUAAUAGCUUUACAUGUAUAUUAUAUACACCUUUUUUUUUUUUUUUUUGGUUUUUUCAAGACAGGGUUUCUCUGUGUAGCCUGGCUGUCCUGGAACUCACUCUGUAGACCAGACUGGCCUCGAAUUCAGAAAUCCACCUGCCUCUGCCUCCCAAGUGCUGGGAUUAAAGGCGUGUGCCACCACGCCCAGCUAUAUACAUCUUUUUUAAAUUUAUCAUGUAUAUGUCUGUGAGGAUGUGCAUGGGGUGGGGGUGGGGGGGCUACUCUAGGAGACCAGAGGCACUUGAUCCCUUGGGAUGUUGCCUGAUGUGUGUUCUGGGAACCGAACUCUGGUCUUCUGUAAUAAUAGCAAAGAUCACUAUCAACCUCUGAGCCAUCUCAUGCGGUUUACAUGGAUGUAUUUGAUAUAUACCUAAUAAUGGUAUUUCCUUUGUG
Molecule: long non-coding RNA, 2305 nt
Filed under: Mus musculus (house mouse)
Lineage: Eukaryota; Metazoa; Chordata; Mammalia; Rodentia; Muridae
Description: predicted gene, 26885, transcript variant 2 (Gm26885)
Source: RNAcentral